GGCCUCGUGGCCCAAUGGCAAGGCGUCUGACUACGAUUGAGUACAUCAGGAGAUUCUGGGUUCGACCCCCAGCGAGGUCA
This 80-nucleotide transfer RNA is filed under the name Nemania serpens. Its description in RNAcentral is "tRNA-Arg". It matches the Rfam family "tRNA". From Rfam's summary of the family: Transfer RNA (tRNA) molecules are approximately 80 nucleotides in length. The record is from RNAcentral. Lineage: Eukaryota; Fungi; Ascomycota; Sordariomycetes; Xylariales; Xylariaceae.